AUUGAACGCUGGCGGCAGGCCUAACACAUGCAAGUCGAGCGGAUGAAGAGAGCUUGCUCUCUAAUUCAGCGGCGGACGGGUGAGUAAUGCCUAGGAAUCUGCCUGGUAGUGGGGGACAACGUUUCGAAAGGAACGCUAAUACCGCAUACGUCCUACGGGAGAAAGUGGGGGAUCUUCGGACCUCACGCUAUCAGAUGAGCCUAGGUACGAUUAGCUAGUUGGUGAGGUAAAGGCUCACCAAGGCGACGAUCGUUAACUGGUCUGAGAGGAUGAUCAGUCACACUGGAACUGAGACACGGUCCAGACUCCUACGGGAGGCAGCAGUGGGGAAUAUUGGACAAUGGGCGAAAGCCUGAUCCAGCCAUGCCGCGUGUGUGAAGAAGGUCUUCGGAUUGUAAAGCACUUUAAGUUGGGAGGAAGGGCAGUAAGUUAAUACCUUGCUGUUUUGACGUUACCGACAGAAUAAGCACCGGCUAACUUCGUGCCAGCAGCCGCCGCGG
RNAcentral lists this ribosomal RNA (500 nucleotides) under uncultured bacterium. RNAcentral's name for it is "partial 16S ribosomal RNA". It matches the Rfam family "Bacterial small subunit ribosomal RNA", at positions 30 to 523 of the family's 1533-position model. The record is from RNAcentral.